This 436-nucleotide ribosomal RNA is filed under the name uncultured bacterium. RNAcentral's name for it is "bacterial SSU rRNA". It matches the Rfam family "Bacterial small subunit ribosomal RNA", at positions 89 to 524 of the family's 1533-position model. The record is from RNAcentral.
UAGAGACCGGCGCACGGGCGCGUAACGCGUAUGCAAUCUACCUUUCACAAAGGGAUAGCCCAGAGAAAUUUGGAUUAAUACCUUAUAGUAAUACGACUUGGCAUCAAGAUGUAUUUAAAGAUUUAUCGGUGAAAGAUGAGCAUGCGUCCCAUUAGCUAGUUGGUAAGGUAACGGCUUACCAAGGCAACGAUGGGUAGGGGUCCUGAGAGGGAGAUCCCCCACACUGGUACUGAGACACGGACCAGACUCCUACGGGAGGCAGCAGUGAGGAAUAUUGGACAAUGGGCGCAAGCCUGAUCCAGCCAUGCCGCGUGCAGGAUGACGGUCCUAUGGAUUGUAACUGCUUUUGUACAGGAAGAAACCCUUUCACGUGUGGAAGAUUGACGGUACUGUAAGAAUAAGGAUCGGCUAACUCCGUGCCAGCAGCCGCGGUAAU